UACGGAGGGUGCGAGCGUUGUCCGGAAUCAUUGGGCGUAAAGGGCGCGUAGGUGGCGCGGGCAGUCAACGGUGAAAGUUCGGGGCUCAACCCUGAAUCGGCCGUCGAUACUCCCGGGCUUGAGCACUGUAGAGGCAGAUGGAAUUCCGGGUGUAGCGGUGGAAUGCGUAGAGAUCCGGAAGAACACCGGUGGCGAAGGCGGUCUGCUGGGCAGUAGCUGACACUGAGGCGCGGACAGCGUGGG
Molecule: ribosomal RNA, 243 nt
Filed under: uncultured bacterium
Lineage: Bacteria
Description: partial 16S ribosomal RNA
Rfam family: Bacterial small subunit ribosomal RNA
Source: RNAcentral